RNAcentral lists this ribosomal RNA (602 nucleotides) under Acinetobacter baumannii. Its description in RNAcentral is "bacterial LSU rRNA". It matches the Rfam family "Bacterial large subunit ribosomal RNA", at positions 2347 to 2925 of the family's 2925-position model. The record is from RNAcentral. Lineage: Bacteria; Pseudomonadati; Pseudomonadota; Gammaproteobacteria; Moraxellales; Moraxellaceae.
GAGUAUAAAGGCAAAAGCGCGCUUAACUGCGAGACCCACAAGUCGAGCAGGUACGAAAGUAGGUCUUAGUGAUCCGGUGGUUCUGUAUGGAAGGGCCAUCGCUCAACGGAUAAAAGGUACUCUGGGGAUAACAGGCUGAUACCGCCCAAGAGUUCAUAUCGACGGCGGUGUUUGGCACCUCGAUGUCGGCUCAUCUCAUCCUGGGGCUGAAGCAGGUCCCAAGGGUAUGGCUGUUCGCCAUUUAAAGAGGUACGCGAGCUGGGUUUAGAACGUCGUGAGACAGUUCGGUCCCUAUCUACCGUGGGCGCUGGAAAUUUGAGAGGAUCUGCUCCUAGUACGAGAGGACCAGAGUGGACGAACCUCUGGUGUACCGGUUGUGACGCCAGUCGCAUCGCCGGGUAGCUAUGUUCGGAAGGGAUAACCGCUGAAAGCAUCUAAGCGGGAAGCCUACCUCAAGAUAAGAUUUCCCUAGGACUUUAUGUCCUCUAAAGAGCCGUUCGAGACUAGGACGUUGAUAGGUUGGAUGUGGAAGCAUAGUGAUAUGUGAAGCUGACCAAUACUAAUUGCUCGUGAGGCUUGACUAUACAACACCCAAGCAGUUG